AUAUUGUUCUGUGUUACGUUUACAGUAAUGCUCGUUUUCUGGUUGGUUACCAGUUGAAGAACCUGCCUGGGCUUUAUCACCCCGGAAAAAAAGAGCUACUCAAGCAGGCAUGACGGGCGGAAAAACUGUCUUGUUAGUUGAAGAAAUGUGGACCGCAAAGAGUGGAUGCUAUAGCGGGACCAUUUUGGAUAUCACCGCCACAACGUGGGUGUCAGGGCGGGGAAAAAACAGAUACACGGGUUUAGAAACAAGUUUCUGAGGAUUGUAGACAUUUUAUAAAUGAUGGGGUGUAAAAACAGUGAAGUCAAUUGGUCUAACGCCAUUUCAUAAAACUGAGGGGCUCUGUAGAUGCAGAGCUUGAGGGAGAUGCUUGGACACACUGAGGUGAGACAUCCGAGCAGAAAUGCCAUUCUCAAGCAGGUGGGUCUCCACAUCCUUUUUAGCUCUCAAAGGGGCCAGAACCCGGGCUGCGCUUGCAGAAGAGAGAUUGCUUAUCACCCCGACACUGCCUGCAAGUCCCAACAGAGUUCAGAGUGGAAAAGCCAAAUCGGAAACACGGAUGAAGGGGCUCCGCGGGUGUGCCGUUCAUCGAAAUCCGGUGAAUUCUCUCAGGAAAAUACGCCAAGUCGGUGGUGCCCAGUUUCUCAGGUUUAACCACCCGCAGCCUUAGCCAGAGGGUUAUAAAGUGAUCUCAAGAAGGGAUCGCGAUCCGACCGUGCGAAAGCGCUGGGGACCCUGCGACGGCCCUUGUGGAAGGGGGCGCAAGCGCGAGCGGACACGGGCGCCCUGCUCUCCCGGGAGGUGCCCUGCUCAUCCGGCCUUGGGGUGCAGCCCCCAGCCUGCCGCGACGCCGGCGCGAUGAAGGCCAAGAACAUCAACUUACUGUUCGCCUUCGUUGCGGUCCUGCUCUUUUGCUUCUCCUGCUUCUGCAUCUCCAAGAUGAACCAAACCAUCAAUCAACUAAUUAAUUGCAGAAACCAUAUUUUGGAAUUUAAGGAAACGAUGCUACGUUUAAAAAACAGAAGUGACAGUCAUCACCAAAAUCUAGUGCAAGUCUUGAAUGAAAUGAAGUCUGAAAUUGCCAAGACAGCAGACGCAUCAGGAAACUUAGUAGAGAGGAAAAUGAGCAUGCUGAGUGAGAACGGAAUACUUCCUAACAGAUUUGAAAGCCUCAGGUUCUUCCUCCCUCAUCUAAGGACCACAGGGAACAUGUACCCAGAUGUAGCCACUGGCAGAGGAAAAGCAGGUGUUUCUUUCGCACUGGGAAUCACCACCAUUAACAGAAGGAACCACACCUACCUGAAGCAAGCGCUGACUUCUGUUCUGUCCAGAAUGACGCCUGAAGAAGAGGAGGACUCUGUGGUGAUUGUCUCUGUCGCUGACACUGAUGGUUAUUUAAAUUCUGUUGUUGACAUGGUUAAAACAAAAUUCAAAAGGCAGGUGAAGUCCGGGUCCUUGGAAGUCAUUUCAAUACCCACCUUCUUUUAUCCGAGUACACUGCUGGACACGGCAAGGGUGGACUCAGAAAGUUGGCAAAUAAAACAAGCAUUGGAUUAUUGUAUUUUGAUGCUGUAUGCCCAACCCAAGGCCACAUAUUAUUUACAGCUAGAAGAUGAUAUCAUAGCGAAACAGAUGUAUUUUACAAAAAUGAAAAAUUUUGUAAAUAGUCUCACUUCAAAAAACUGGUUGUAUAUUGAGUUUUCAGUACUUGGAUUUAUAGGAAAACUCUUUCAAUCGAAGGACCUACUUGACUUUGUACACUUUUUCUUGAUGUUCUACAAAGUGAAGCCCAUAGAUCUGCUCUUAAAUGACAUUUUCGUGGUGAGGAUGUGCAACUUGGGAGAGGAUCUUGGGAGCUGUAUACAACGCCAGAAAGAAGUUCGAAUUCAAUACAGACCAUCUCUGUUCCAGCACGUGGGCACCCACUCAUCAUUUCCGGGACGAAAACAGUACCUCAAGGACCAUUUUUACUAGGAUUUCCCUAAAUCUCACAAUUUCUUUAAAAAUUGUCAGACUCAUUUUUGGGGAAAAGGGCACAACAAGAAUCAGAUUUUUUCAGAUUACACUGGAUAAGAGACUACAUUAUACUGUUUAAUAUUAAGCCUUCAGUAAUAAAGAAUAUUGAAGAUAAUAAACAUACAAGAAGAAACUUUGUCAUACCCGAUCCUCUGACAUGUUGGUUUCCAACGGUAUCUUUCAGAAACAAGAAGUGUGGGAAGAUAAAUUACCUAGAAGAGGACAAAUCAGUGAACACAGUACUUGAAGGCAUUAAAUGACUUUUUAUGUCAAGACAAAAAUAGAGCUUUUGUCAGGGAUAUUUUUAGCCUAAAGAGUUGAAUUUUAAAACAGUACAAUUAGAGACAUUACUAACAUUUAAAAACUAUAUUUUAUUGAUGUAGACAGCAAGGCCAUUACACAGAAAUAUCUAACAGCUCAGAAGUGUGCUGCUGUCAUGGACAGGCUCUGUGGGAACUGAUCUGUGUGCUGUGAUCAUUUUGCAAAGAUCUCUAAAGAACUAGAAAGUGUAGAUCCAGCCUGGGCCUGUUUGUACCACCAUGUCUUACAGCCUACCUUUUAAUAAACAUGUUUCAGCUAUAAACACACCUGAGUACCAUAGGAACCUAUCAUCAGAUACCUUGGUAUGUGACAUAUUUUUGAUAGUCAUUCAUUUCUAAAAAUGUCACAGUUGGGUCCAUGAAUCGUUUGGGAACAAGUUAUCUUUCCAUCUGUUCUUUAUUGAUUUCUGACUGCAUUGCUGUUAGGAUGAGUUUAUCUGUGUGAUAAUAUCUGAGGGCUCUUGUGAAUUCAAGCGCUCCGUAGCUUAGACAAGAAUGUGUGGUCCAUGAACGUGCCUUUUCAAAUGUUGCAUUCACUUGUUUCUGUGGAUGUUGAUUUUAUAAAUUAAAAAUGCCUUUUUAAAGUA
This is an RNA transcript of Peromyscus leucopus (white-footed mouse), 2923 nucleotides long. It is a transcript of the gene named MGAT4 family member D, with no coding region annotated. The record is from RefSeq and is a predicted model, not a curated record. NCBI's taxonomy places the organism in Eukaryota, Metazoa, Chordata, Mammalia, Rodentia, Cricetidae. The transcript is spliced from 12 exons.